This 572-nucleotide long non-coding RNA is filed under the name Prunus dulcis (almond). RNAcentral describes it as "sRNA ncRNA". The record is from RNAcentral. Lineage: Eukaryota; Viridiplantae; Streptophyta; Magnoliopsida; Rosales; Rosaceae.
GAAUCAAGGCAUCUUGAAUCAACAUUCAACAUCCCUCUGUCUAUCCUUCUGUUUCACAAGCGUGUACGUACACACACAAAAAUCAAGAUGGAGGGAUCUAAACGUAUGUUUUCAACUGUCUUCAUCCUCGUCCUGCUCCUUGUGGCUAUUGGUAUCUCUCUCUUUCCUCAUUUUAAUUUUAAUUUUAUAUUUGAUUAGUGGUAUAUUUCUUUCCAAUGCUAGAAGAUGUUUCAAGUUUGAAUCCACCUUCUCUCGUUAAUUUUUAUCGAUGAAUGUUUGGCAGGGACGGGUCCAAUGGUUGCUGAGGGCAAGGUCGCAACAAAGGAGAGUCAAGGACUUGUGAGUCUCUGAGCACGAAAUUCAAGGGAUUUUGCUUACGAUCAAGCAGCUGUGCAGAUGCUUGCCAAAAAGAGGGCUUCAUGGGAGGCAAAUGUCCUGGCUUCAGGCUGAGAUGUACAUGCACUAAGAAAUGUUAGUGAUAUAACACACUAACUUAUUUUGGUGCAUGGGAUUGAGAAGAUUGAAAAUUUAUUGCCCUUUUUUUGUUUUGUUUAAAAGAAUAAAUGACUAAC